GAUCAAUGAUAGUAGCUUGGUUUAGCUGAGGAGAAACAUCUUUGGUUCUCUGAACAGAAUCCCAAGAGUCUGACUUGUUCUUGCAUUCAAUAUCAUAGCCGGUGAUAGGGCUGUUUCCAUCAAAUCCCAUGGUCCAUCUGAGGGCAAUGCUGCGUGCUCUCACCUCUCGGAUUUCUAUCUCAGGAGGGUCAGGGGGUUCUUGCACAGUGAGCUGAAUUAUUC
RNAcentral lists this long non-coding RNA (222 nucleotides) under Gallus gallus (chicken). Lineage: Eukaryota; Metazoa; Chordata; Aves; Galliformes; Phasianidae. The record is from RNAcentral.